GGGGGGUGCCUAUACAUGCAAGUCGAGCGGACAGAAGGGAGCUUGCUCCCGGAUGUUAGCGGCGGACGGGUGAGUAACACGUGGGUAACCUGCCUGUAAGACUGGGAUAACUCCGGGAAACCGGAGCUAAUACCGGAUAGUUCCUUGAACCGCAUGGUUCAAGGAUGAAAGACGGUUUCGGCUGUCACUUACAGAUGGACCCGCGGCGCAUUAGCUAGUUGGUGAGGUAACGGCUCACCAAGGCGACGAUGCGUAGCCGACCUGAGAGGGUGAUCGGCCACACUGGGACUGAGACACGGCCCAGACUCCUACGGGAGGCAGCAGUAGGGAAUCUUCCGCAAUGGACGAAAGUCUGACGGAGCAACGCCGCGUGAGUGAUGAAGGUUUUCGGAUCGUAAAGCUCUGUUGUUAGGGAAGAACAAGUGCAAGAGUAACUGCUUGCACCUUGACGGUACCUAACCAGAAAGCCACGGCUAACUACGUGCCAGCAGCCGCGGUAAUACGUAGGUGGCAAGCGUUGUCCGGAAUUAUUGGGCGUAAAGGGCUCGCAGGCGGUUUCUUAAGUCUGAUGUGAAAGCCCCCGGCUCAACCGGGGAGGGUCAUUGGAAACUGGGAAACUUGAGUGCAGAAGAGGAGAGUGGAAUUCCACGUGUAGCGGUGAAAUGCGUAGAGAUGUGGAGGAACACCAGUGGCGAAGGCGACUCUCUGGUCUGUAACUGACGCUGAGGAGCGAAAGCGUGGGAAGCAAAAAAAGGAAAAAAACUGA
RNAcentral lists this ribosomal RNA (766 nucleotides) under Bacillus aerophilus. RNAcentral describes it as "bacterial SSU rRNA". It matches the Rfam family "Bacterial small subunit ribosomal RNA", at positions 39 to 791 of the family's 1533-position model. The record is from RNAcentral. Lineage: Bacteria; Bacillati; Bacillota; Bacilli; Caryophanales; Bacillaceae.